Molecule: ribosomal RNA, 253 nt
Filed under: uncultured bacterium
Lineage: Bacteria
Description: partial 16S ribosomal RNA
Rfam family: Bacterial small subunit ribosomal RNA
Source: RNAcentral
UACGUAGGGAGCAAGCGUUGUCCGGAAUCAUUGGGCGUAAAGCGCGCGUAGGCGGCCUCAUAAGUCCGCUGUGAAAGUCCAAGGCUCAACCUUGGAAAGCCGGUGGAUACUGUGAGGCUAGAGUACGGAAGAGGCGAGUGGAAUUCCUGGUGUAGCGGUGGAAUGCGCAGAUAUCAGGAGGAACACCAAGGACGAAGGUACCUACCUGGGCAGUAUCUGACACUCAAGUGCGACAGCGUGGGGAGCGAACCGG